Molecule: ribosomal RNA, 502 nt
Filed under: uncultured bacterium
Lineage: Bacteria
Description: bacterial SSU rRNA
Rfam family: Bacterial small subunit ribosomal RNA
Source: RNAcentral
UAGUCCACGCCGUAAACGAUGGACACUAGCUGUUGGGAUUAAUCUCAGCGGCUAAGCGAAAGUGAUAAGUGUCCCACCUGGGGAGUACGAUCGCAAGAUUGAAACUCAAAGGAAUUGACGGGGGCCCGCACAAGCGGUGGAGCAUGUGGUUUAAUUCGAUGAUACGCGAGGAACCUUACCAGGGCUUAAAUGUAAUAUGACAGGACUAGAGAUAGUUUUUUCUUCGGACAUAUUACAAGGUGCUGCAUGGUUGUCGUCAGCUCGUGCCGUGAGGUGUCAGGUUAAGUCCUAUAACGAGCGCAACCCUUGCCGUUAGUUGCCAGCAUUUAGUUGGGCACUCUAAUGAGACUGCCGGUGAUAAACCGGAGGAAGGCGGGGAUGACGUCAAGUCCUCAUGGCCCUUAUGGGGUGGGCUACACACGUGCUACAAUGGCGUAUACAGUGGGUUGCUAGCCAGCGAUGGUGAGCUAAUCUCUAAAAAUACGUCUCAGUUCGGAUUGUA